This 273-nucleotide ribosomal RNA is filed under the name uncultured bacterium. Its description in RNAcentral is "partial 16S ribosomal RNA". It matches the Rfam family "Bacterial small subunit ribosomal RNA", at positions 524 to 796 of the family's 1533-position model. The record is from RNAcentral.
UACGUAGGGUGCAAGCGUUAAUCGGAAUUACUGGGCGUAAAGCGUACGCAGGCGGCUUUGCAAGACAGGUGUGAAAUCCCCGGGCCUAACCUGGGAACUGCAUUUGUGACUGCAUAGCUAGAGUCUGUCAGAGGGGGGUGGAAUUCCACGUGUAGCAGUGAAAUGCGUAGAGAUGUGGAAGAACACCGAUGGCGAAGGCAGCCCCCUGGGAUAAGACUGACGCUCAUGUACGAAAGCGUGGGGAGCAAACAGGAUUAGAAACCCCCGUAGUCC